UGGGGGAUAUUGCACAAUGGGCGCAAGCCUGAUGCAGCGACGCCGCGUGGGGGAUGAAGGCCUUCGGGUUGUAAACUUCUUUUGCUCUGAACAAGGCGCACUUUGGGGUGUGUUGAGUGUAGGGGUUGAUUAGCGCCGGCUAACUACGUGCCAGCAGCCGCGGUAAUACGUAGGGCGCGAGCGUUGUCCGGAAUUAUUGGGCGUAAAGGGCUUGUAGGUGGCUGGUUGCGUCUGUCGUGAAAGCUAAUGGCUUAACUGUGGGUUUGCGGUGGGUACGGGCUGGCUUGAGUGCAGUAGGGGAAGCUGGAAGUCCUGGUGUAGCGGUGGAAUGCGCAGAUAUAAGGAGGAAUACCGGUGGCGAAGGCGGGUCUCUGGGCUGUUACUGACACUGAGGAGCGAAAGCAUGGGGAGCGAACAGG
RNAcentral lists this ribosomal RNA (419 nucleotides) under bacterium. RNAcentral describes it as "partial 16S ribosomal RNA". It matches the Rfam family "Bacterial small subunit ribosomal RNA", at positions 355 to 776 of the family's 1533-position model. The record is from RNAcentral.